UCCAGUGGUGGUCAGCUGUCUGUGUCAGCACCAUGUCUGUGACAGUGUUACACUGCUGGAAGAUAAAAGUACUGUCUGUUUUCACUGUUUGUCAGCACUUCUGUUCUAGAGGUGGCUGGCACCAGUAUGUGGCAGUGCUGUGCUUCUCUGAGAGUAUGCUGAGCUGUUAAUAUCCUGCUCAUGCGCUAGUCUAGAAGCAUACAUU
This 205-nucleotide small nucleolar RNA is filed under the name Salvator merianae (Argentine black and white tegu). RNAcentral's name for it is "Small nucleolar RNA SNORA74 (ENSSMRG00000007562.1)". It matches the Rfam family "Small nucleolar RNA SNORA74". From Rfam's summary of the family: U19 belongs to the H/ACA class of snoRNAs. snoRNAs bind a number of proteins (including dyskerin, Gar1p and Nop10p in the case of the H/ACA class) to form snoRNP complexes. This class are thought to guide the sites of modification of uridines to pseudouridines by forming direct base pairing interactions with substrate RNAs. The record is from Rfam by way of RNAcentral. Lineage: Eukaryota; Metazoa; Chordata; Lepidosauria; Squamata; Teiidae.